RNAcentral lists this long non-coding RNA (1567 nucleotides) under Parus major (Great Tit). RNAcentral's name for it is "lncRNA (ENSPMJG00000012360.1)". The record is from RNAcentral. Lineage: Eukaryota; Metazoa; Chordata; Aves; Passeriformes; Paridae.
UGGGAACCUCCCUGGGGUUUGUUCUGCAAGUGCCCCCGGCCUGGCUCUGCCGCCGACACGAUUUAACGAAGCCCACGGCGCCGGGAGAAAGGGGGGAAAAGCCCUUUUUGCAUCAGGUGGAGGGGUGGCAGAUGGCCGGACCGCAGCAAAACAGGUGGGAGCAUUGUGUGGUGACCCUCUGAAUUAAGUUCGCUUAAUUUGCUGUAUCUCUAUUAGCAACUGCAGGCUCCGGCUCCGCUCGUGGCUCCGGCCCCGCAGCCCCAUCUGUGCCGGCCCCAGAGCUAAAUCUGUCUCGGAGGCAGCUGGGAAGCAGCUGAAGCCUCUUUUCUCUCUCCUGGGCAGCUCCCGGAGCGGGCAGGCGAUGCUCUGGAACUGCGCUUUCCCUGCGGCUUUCCCGGCCGGCCGCAGUUUUGCUGUCUCUCGCUUUUCCCCGAGGAGCAGCAGGGCUGCUGGGGACCCUGGAGCUGCGGGGACAGUGGGUGGCCGUGCUGGGGAUGUGCUGGGCAGCCCGGGAUGGAGCCGGAGCCGCAGUUGUCCCUCCGUCAGCUCCCAGCUGGCAGCUGCUGCUAAACCUUCCUUUCAUCGCCUGCCAAAAGCGGCCGGGGUGUUUUGCUCUCCCCCUGCCCUUUAAUCCUGACUUUCAUCAUUCUCCGGGCUGUGCCUGCCCUCCCCUCCGCGUUCGGCAUCACCGAGGGGUCGGGAGCUGGGCCGGACUCAGCCCCCCCAGGCUCUUCCCCCCACCUGCCACAUCCUCACCCCAAAAGUUCUCCGGGCCGCGGGGUUGGGCUGCCCGUGGUGGGAGGCGGCUCGGAGAGCAAUGGGUUAACCCCCAGGGAUGUGGGAGAUGCCCACUGGAGCCCUCGAUGGGGGAGGACGUCUGGGCCAGCUGGGGAGGUGCUUCCUGCACGAUCAGGCGGAUUUCCCAGCCUGUGCACGCCGGCCACACGUGGCUGCUGUGGGAAUCAUCCGGCCGGGCAGCGCCGGGCGAAGUCCGGGAUCGGGGCACAGGGAGCUGCAGUAAAACGAAAACAAACUUUGUCCAUUUAAUGGCAGCGUGGGCCAUAAACCAACGCACGAGAGGCAUUUCCGUGAAGGAAAACUGUCCUGCACCACGAGGAAUCAUCUUCCCCCAUCCUGCCUCCCGCGGGGAGGUUCUCUGUUCCCAUUUCCCCGGGCGUGCGGGGGAGCCCCGGGAUGGGCAGAGGGAAGGUUGGACAAUCCCAAAGCAGCUCCCAGUCCUGCUGAUGGAAUCAGAGAGCUGGGGUGGCUCGGCCUCCAGGCACAGUUACCUCCACUGGUGCUCCAGUGGGCAGGGGGGAGCUCGGGGGGGAUGUUAAAUCAUUAAUCUGAAUUAAUUUUGUCUCCUGUAAGCGUGUGGAGGGGGAAGAGUGUUUGGAAAGCAAAGGCAAAGGAACUUGGAGUGAAGCCCAGAGUUUGAUGGUCAUUGCAGUAAAGAUAAUGAAAGUGAGGUGUUUAUUUGAGAGCAGAUUUUGAAAUAUAAAUUAAAAUAUAGAAUUUAAAAUGUAUAUAAUGCUUAUGAGACCCUAUUUCAGAGCUGCCUCCAGCC